GACGAACGCUGGCGGCGUGCUUAACACAUGCAAGUCGAACGGAAAGGCCCUGCUUUUGUGGGGUGCUCGAGUGGCGAACGGGUGAGUAACACGUGAGUAACCUGCCCUUGACUUUGGGAUAACUUCAGGAAACUGGGGCUAAUACCGGAUAGGAGCUCCUGCUGCAUGGUGGGGGUUGGAACGUUUCGGCGGUUGGGGAUGGACUCGCGGCUUAUCAGCUUGUUGGUGGGGUAGUGGCUUACCAAGGCUUUGACGGGUAGCCGGCCUGAGAGGGUGACCGGCCACAUUGGGACUGAGAUACGGCCCAGACUCCUACGGGAGGCAGCAGUGGGGAAUAUUGCACAAUGGGCGGAAGCCUGAUGCAGCAACGCCGCGUGCGGGAUAACGGCCUUCGGGUUGUAAACCGCUUUCGCCUGUGACGAAGCGUGAGUGACGGUAAUGGGUAAAGAAGCACCGGCUAACUACGUG
Molecule: ribosomal RNA, 468 nt
Filed under: uncultured bacterium
Lineage: Bacteria
Description: partial 16S ribosomal RNA
Rfam family: Bacterial small subunit ribosomal RNA
Source: RNAcentral